RNAcentral lists this ribosomal RNA (422 nucleotides) under uncultured bacterium. Its description in RNAcentral is "bacterial SSU rRNA". It matches the Rfam family "Bacterial small subunit ribosomal RNA", at positions 355 to 774 of the family's 1533-position model. The record is from RNAcentral.
UAAGGAAUAUUGGACAAUGGACGCAAGUCUGAUCCAGCCAUGCCGCGUGAAGGAUGAAUGCCCUCUGGGUUGUAAACUUCUUUUAUAGGGGAAGAAAGAUACUUUUUUUAAGGUAGUUGACGGUACCCUAUGAAUAAGCACCGGCUAACUCCGUGCCAGCAGCCGCGGUAAUACGGAGGGUGCAAGCGUUAUCCGGAUUUACUGGGUUUAAAGGGUGCGUAGGCGGGCAUGUAAGUCAGUGGUUAAAUACCGGAGCUUAACUUCGGAACUGCCAUUGAUACUAUAUGUCUUGAAUAUUGUGGAGGUAAGCGGAAUAUGUCAUGUAGCGGUGAAAUGCAUAGAUAUGACAUAGAACACCGAUUGCGGAGGCAGCUUGCUACGCAAAUAUUGACGCUGAGGCACGAAAGCGUGGAGAUCAAACA